GUUUAAUUAGUUUAUAAUAAAAUAACAAAUUGUGGAUUUGUAGAAGAAUUAACAUUAAACA
RNAcentral lists this transfer RNA (61 nucleotides) under Archaeocroton sphenodonti (tuatara tick). Its description in RNAcentral is "tRNA-His". Lineage: Eukaryota; Metazoa; Arthropoda; Arachnida; Ixodida; Ixodidae. The record is from RNAcentral.